GGGGCUAUAGCUCAGUUGGUAGAGUGCUUGCCUUGCAUAUGUGAGGCCUUGGGUUCUAAUCCCAAGCACCA
This 71-nucleotide transfer RNA is filed under the name Ictidomys tridecemlineatus (thirteen-lined ground squirrel). RNAcentral describes it as "Spermophilus tridecemlineatus (thirteen-lined ground squirrel) tRNA". It matches the Rfam family "tRNA". Rfam says of the family: Transfer RNA (tRNA) molecules are approximately 80 nucleotides in length. Lineage: Eukaryota; Metazoa; Chordata; Mammalia; Rodentia; Sciuridae. The record is from Rfam by way of RNAcentral.